Long non-coding RNA from Oncorhynchus tshawytscha (Chinook salmon), 542 nucleotides. Lineage: Eukaryota; Metazoa; Chordata; Actinopteri; Salmoniformes; Salmonidae. The record is from Ensembl.
GGGUCUCCAGUUGUCUAUAUAAAGAGUAUCCUUAUUAGGUUUGGGAAUCAAAGUAAUUACACCUUGCUUUAAGGAAGCCGAUAACUCAUCAUCACAAAAAUCCCUGAAAUCAUUAUCUAUCUUCUUAGCAAUGUUUGCAACACGUCAUGCUCUAUCAACUGAGCUACGAAGGAGCACGUCGACGUCACUAGAAUGAUGACAAGCAAUUUUAACGUAUUCUAAAGGGAAUCAUAGAAUUCCAAACUAAUUUCUAUGGCAACACAGUUGUCAAUUUUGUAAACAAUCAUUUUCAAACGUGUGUUGCCAAGAGACAUCUAACCGACGUUCUAUGGAACGUUUUCUGUGCGAAAAAACAACUUCAGUUUGCUGCUGACAACAAACUUGUUUGAUUUUUGAGACCUGAGAACAAUCGACUGGAAAAUGCCUGGGUGCUUUUCAAGACUGGCGGAGAGAGUGCGUGGACGUCGGCGGCCUAAUGCUUCGACAGGUUGUUCAAAUUCAUUUGUGGCUUGUUUUUCUUGUCUUUUUCUGUUUUGCAGCGA